This 207-nucleotide ribosomal RNA is filed under the name uncultured bacterium. RNAcentral describes it as "partial 16S ribosomal RNA". It matches the Rfam family "Bacterial small subunit ribosomal RNA", at positions 568 to 774 of the family's 1533-position model. The record is from RNAcentral.
CUCGUAGGCGGUUUGUCGCGUCUGCUGUGAAAGCCCGGGGCUCAACCCCGGGUCUGCAGUGGGUACGGGCAGGCUGGAGUGCAGUAGGGGAGACUGGAAUUCCUGGUGUAGCGGUGAAAUGCGCAGAUAUCAGGAGGAACACCGAUGGCGAAGGCAGGUCUCUGGGCUGUAACUGACGCUGAGGAGCGAAAGCGUGGGGAGCGAACA